UUGGAGGGCAAGUCUGGUGCCAGCAGCCGCGGUAAUUCCAGCUCCAAUAGCGUAUAUUAAAGUUGUUGCAGUUAAAAAGCUCGUAGUUGAAUUUCGGGAUCAAUCUGUUGGUCGUGCCUUUGGUACGUACUAGCUUAUUGAUUUCUCCCUUCUGACGAACCAUGAUGUCAUUAAUUUGGUGUCAUGGGGAAUCAGGACUGUUACUUUGAAAAAAUUAGAGUGUUUAAAGCAGGCUCACGCUUGAAUACAUUAGCAUGGAAUAAUGAAAUAGGACGUUUUGAUUCUAUUUUGUAGGUUUCUAGGAUCGACGUAAUGAUUAAUAGGGAUAGUUGGGGGCAUUAGUAUUCAAUUGUCAGGGGUGAAAUUCUUGGAUUUAUUGAAGACUAACUACUGCGAAGGCAUUUGCCAAGGAUGUUUUCAUUAAUCAAGAACGAAAGUUAGGGGAUCGAAGACGAUCAGAUACCGUCGUAGUCUUAACCAUAAACUAUGCCGACUAGGGAUCGGAUGAUGUUAAUUUUUAAUGACUCAUUCGGCGCCUUACGGGAAACCAAAGUGUUUGGGUUC
RNAcentral lists this ribosomal RNA (564 nucleotides) under uncultured Glomeromycotina. Its description in RNAcentral is "SSU rRNA". It matches the Rfam family "Eukaryotic small subunit ribosomal RNA", at positions 548 to 1114 of the family's 1831-position model. The record is from RNAcentral. Lineage: Eukaryota; Fungi; Glomeromycota.